CCUACGGGAGGCAGCAGUGGGGAAUAUUGCACAAUGGGCGAAAGCCUGAUGCAGCCAUGCCGCGUGUGUGAAGAAGGCCCUAGGGUUGUAAAGCACUUUCAGUGGGGAGGAAAGGUUGAAGGUUAAUACCCUUUGGCUGUGACGUUACCCACAGAAGAAGCACCGGCUAACACCGUGCCAGCAGCCGCGGUAAU
RNAcentral lists this ribosomal RNA (194 nucleotides) under uncultured bacterium. RNAcentral describes it as "partial 16S ribosomal RNA". It matches the Rfam family "Bacterial small subunit ribosomal RNA", at positions 338 to 524 of the family's 1533-position model. The record is from RNAcentral.